UCCGAGUUGACCCCGGCAGUCUCUUAUGAGUCCCCACCAUUACGUGCUGGCAACAUAAGACGAGGGUUGCGCUCGUUGCGGGACUUAACCCAACAUCUCACGACACGAGCUGACGACAGCCAUGCACCACCUGUAUAGAUCCCUUGCGGACCCCGCAUCUCUGCGGGAUUUCCCUAUAUGUCAAACCCAGGUAAGGUUCUUCGCGUUGCAUCGAAUUAAUCCGCAUGCUCCGCCGCUUGUGCGGGCCCCCGUCAAUUCCUUUGAGUUUCAGCCUUGCGGCCGUACUCCCCAGGCGGGGCACUUCAUGCGUUAGCGCCGGCACCCAGGGGGUCGCUCCCCCAAGCACCUAGUGCCCAUCGUUUACGGCGUGGACUAC
Molecule: unclassified non-coding RNA, 376 nt
Filed under: uncultured Actinomycetes bacterium
Lineage: Bacteria; Bacillati; Actinomycetota; Actinomycetes
Description: uncultured actinobacterium contains 16S-23S intergenic spacer region
Source: RNAcentral